RNAcentral lists this transfer RNA (66 nucleotides) under Dipodomys ordii (Ord's kangaroo rat). It matches the Rfam family "tRNA". Rfam says of the family: Transfer RNA (tRNA) molecules are approximately 80 nucleotides in length. The record is from Rfam by way of RNAcentral. Lineage: Eukaryota; Metazoa; Chordata; Mammalia; Rodentia; Heteromyidae.
GGUGGCUCAAGUGGUAGAGUGCUUGCCUUGCAUGCAUGAGGUCCUGGGUUCGAUUCCUCAGCACCA